RNAcentral lists this unclassified non-coding RNA (348 nucleotides) under soil metagenome. RNAcentral describes it as "partial contains 5.8S ribosomal RNA, internal transcribed spacer 2, and large subunit ribosomal RNA". The stretch from base 1 to 120 matches the Rfam family "5.8S ribosomal RNA", at positions 35 to 154 of the family's 154-position model. The record is from RNAcentral.
GAUGAAGAACGCAGCGAAAUGCGAUAAGUAGUGUGAAUUGCAGAAUUCCGUGAACCAUCGAAUCUUUGAACGCACAUUGCGCCCGCUGGAACUCCGGCGGGCACGCCUGUCCGAGCGUCAUUUCAACCCUCAGGCCCCCCUUCGCGGGCGGGCCUGGUGUUGGGGCCCGGCCGCUACCCUGCGGCCGUCCCCUAAAUUCAGUGGCGGCCUCGCCGUGAUCCCUUGCGUAGUAAUGCACCUCGCACCGGAGAGCGCCGUGGCCACGCCGUAAAACCCCCAAUUUUCAAUGGUUGACCUCGGAUCAGGUGGGAAUACCCGCUGAACUUAAGCAUAUCAAUAAGCGGAGGA